UGAAAGGGAUGCAGAACCCACC
RNAcentral lists this non-coding RNA (22 nucleotides) under Mus musculus (house mouse). Lineage: Eukaryota; Metazoa; Chordata; Mammalia; Rodentia; Muridae. The record is from RNAcentral.